RNAcentral lists this ribosomal RNA (292 nucleotides) under Salmonella enterica. RNAcentral describes it as "partial 16S ribosomal RNA". It matches the Rfam family "Bacterial small subunit ribosomal RNA", at positions 153 to 447 of the family's 1533-position model. The record is from RNAcentral. RNAcentral also lists the same sequence under 2 other names. Lineage: Bacteria; Pseudomonadati; Pseudomonadota; Gammaproteobacteria; Enterobacterales; Enterobacteriaceae.
GAAACGGUGGCUAAUACCGCAUAACGUCGCAAGACCAAAGAGGGGGACCUUCGGGCCUCUUGCCAUCAGAUGUGCCCAGAUGGGAUUAGCUUGUUGGUGAGGUAACGGCUCACCAAGGCGACGAUCCCUAGCUGGUCUGAGAGGAUGACCAGCCACACUGGAACUGAGACACGGUCCAGACUCCUACGGGAGGCAGCAGUGGGGAAUAUUGCACAAUGGGCGCAAGCCUGAUGCAGCCAUGCCGCGUGUAUGAAGAAGGCCUUCGGGUUGUAAAGUACUUUCAGCGGGGAGG